Molecule: ribosomal RNA, 755 nt
Filed under: uncultured bacterium
Lineage: Bacteria
Description: bacterial SSU rRNA
Rfam family: Bacterial small subunit ribosomal RNA
Source: RNAcentral
AGAGUUUGAUCCUGGCUCAGAAUCAACGCUGGCGGCGCGCCUAACACAUGCAAGUCGAACGAGAAAGUGGAGCAAUCCAUGAGUACAGUGGCGUACGGGUGAGUAACACGUGGGUGAUCUACCUCUUAGUGAGGAAUAACCCUGGGAAACCGGGGCUAAUACCGCAUAAGCCUUAGCAGGGAAAGUCGAAAGACGCUGAGAGAGGAGCCCGCGGCCGAUUAGCUAGUUGGUGAGGUAAAAGCCCACCAAGGCAGAGAUCGGUAGCCGGCCUGAGAGGGCACACGGCCACACUGGCACUGAAACACGGGCCAGACUCCUACGGGAGGCAGCAGUGGGGAAUCUUGCACAAUGGGGAAACCCUGAUGCAGCGACGCCGCGUGAGCGAUGAAGCCCUUCGGGGUGUAAAGCUCUUUCGUCAGGGAAGAUAGUGACGGUACCUGGAGAAGCAGCUGCGGCUAACUACGUGCCAGCAGCCGCGGUAAUACGUAGGCAGCAAGCGUUGUUCGGAGUUACUGGGCGUAAAGGGUGUGUAGGCGGUUCUUUAAGUUUGGUGUGAAAUCUCCCGGCUCAACCGGGAGGGUGCGCCGAAUACUGAGGGACUAGAGUGCGGGAGAGGAAAGUGGAAUUCCUGGUGUAGCGGUGAAAUGCGUAGAUAUCAGGAGGAACACCGGUGGUGUAGACGGCUUUCUGGACCGUAACUGACGCUGAAACACGAAAGCGUGGGUAGCAAACAGGAUUAGAUACCCUAGUAGUCC